Molecule: ribosomal RNA, 497 nt
Filed under: Vibrio parahaemolyticus
Lineage: Bacteria; Pseudomonadati; Pseudomonadota; Gammaproteobacteria; Vibrionales; Vibrionaceae
Description: bacterial SSU rRNA
Rfam family: Bacterial small subunit ribosomal RNA
Source: RNAcentral
UAUCUGAACCUUCGGGGAACGAUAACGGCGUCGAGCGGCGGACGGGUGAGUAAUGCCUAGGAAAUUGCCCUGAUGUGGGGGAUAACCAUUGGAAACGAUGGCUAAUACCGCAUGAUGCCUACGGGCCAAAGAGGGGGACCUUCGGGCCUCUCGCGUCAGGAUAUGCCUAGGUGGGAUUAGCUAGUUGGUGAGGUAAGGGCUCACCAAGGCGACGAUCCCUAGCUGGUCUGAGAGGAUGAUCAGCCACACUGGAACUGAGACACGGUCCAGACUCCUACGGGAGGCAGCAGUGGGGAAUAUUGCACAAUGGGCGCAAGCCUGAUGCAGCCAUGCCGCGUGUGUGAAGAAGGCCUUCGGGUUGUAAAGCACUUUCAGUCGUGAGGAAGGUAGUGUAGUUAAUAGCUGCAUUAUUUGACGUUAGCGACAGAAGAAGCACCGGCUAACUCCGUGCCAGCAGCCGCGGUAAUACGGAGGGUGCGAGCGUUAAUCGGAAUUAC